Molecule: long non-coding RNA, 1663 nt
Organism: Erinaceus europaeus (western European hedgehog)
Lineage: Eukaryota; Metazoa; Chordata; Mammalia; Eulipotyphla; Erinaceidae
Exons: 3
Source: RefSeq, a predicted model, not a curated record
AGCACCUCCCGUAAUGAACCAUCAGACCGGCAUUUCCUAAAAUCCUCAUAUUAUGGACCCAAGUGAAAAGCAUGAAGGGGUGCAAAUACUCAGGCCAGACCACGCCCACAAAAGUGGAAGUCCACUGUUGGUAGGAGGCACUGUGGGGGGCAGGGAUUGUGAAAUUUGGGUAUAAGCUACCUCCCAGCUUAAGUAGUGCUCACUUCCUGUUUCACAUGUGGGACAUCCAAGCUGUUUCAUUUAAAAGCAGAGUUCUACGUGCCACUACCAUCACAGCAGCAGCAGUCACUGCACUUGGAGGAGGAGGAAGUGGGGGAUCUGAGAGGACUGGGGAGGGAGUGCAACGUGGGAAACAGGGCAUGAGGUUCAGUCAGAAGCCAAAAGGGCCAGAAUAGGGGAAAAUGGGGAACCAUUCAUGGACUGCAUUACCUCACCCUCUACCCUCCAAGGCUGACUGAAUAAGUCACCACCCCAGUUGACAGGAUUUCCUGUCAUUACACAGACGUGUGGCUCUCAGCUCUCUGGUCAACUCAACUUCCCACUUCUGUGGACUUGAAGAGGAUAAGAAACAGAGACACCCACAGCACUGCUCUAUCACUCAUGGAGCUCCCCCACUGCAGAUGGGAAUAAAAAUUUGAACUUAGAUCACCAUGCAUCCAUCAAAAUGUGGGAAAGUCUCUAUAUGCUACAACCAUGCCCAUCGUACAGAGAAGCAAGUGGAGGUACCAAUGUUUAACUUGUCCAAGUUCACAUGGUUUGCGAGAGGAGGUGCUGGGACAAGACCCCAGCAGUAUAGUGAUCACCAUUCUUACAUCGCCCUGUCCCUUCAAUGUCUUCAAAGGCUCUCUACAACUCGAAGAAGAAAUCCCCAAACCUAUCCUUACAACACCAACCUCUCAUCACUCCAUGAGCCAGCCCACUGGCCUUCAUGUCCUUCAACAUCAUCUGUUCUGCUCUGCCACAGGACCUUUACACAUGCUGGGCCCACCUAGUGAAACACUUCUUACCCAUGUCUGUCUCCAAGUUCCAAACUGUAUGCUCCAAAUUGUGUUGAAGUGAGACCUUUCUUCUCCCUCACCCUUGAUUAGGUUAUAUACCAAAAGGCACCUCCCUACCUGUUUUGUCAUCAUGUCACAAUCUGUCUCCAUAAAUGACAACAGAAUAACUUGUUCCUGUUUUUACAGAAUUCACAAAACAGGGACCAUGUCUGUCUUGUUUCAGGUGCAUCUUUGGGGUUUAGCACAGUGCAGGGAUUCCACAGACACUUGAUGAAUGAGAGAAUGAAACAGUCAAGAGUCAGGCGCUAUUGCUGGGAGACACAGGAUCUAAAAGCAAAUGUCGGCUCACAAUACUGAGAGCUAAAGUUACACAGCGUUUUGCCAUAGAAAAACAUCCCAAUAUUGAAAACUGACGAACCUGGGCUUGAACCCAGCCUCUGCAAUUUUCAACUGGACAAGCAGGGAAAAUACCCAAACUCUCUGCGUCUCAGUUUCCUCCUCUGUCAAAUGAGCAUGACAUGUAUCUGAGUGCAGGUAAGAGAAAAUGAAAGAACCUAGAUCAUGGCAUGGCCCAUAGAAGGAGCCCUUCCCAGCCAAUAACUUGGAUCCACCAGCAAAUCAGAUGUCAGGCUCAGGGGAGGGAAAAAAAACUAGUAUAGUCAUGG